This 1631-nucleotide ribosomal RNA is filed under the name Escherichia coli. Its description in RNAcentral is "partial 23S ribosomal RNA". It matches the Rfam family "Bacterial large subunit ribosomal RNA", at positions 1119 to 2734 of the family's 2925-position model. Lineage: Bacteria; Pseudomonadati; Pseudomonadota; Gammaproteobacteria; Enterobacterales; Enterobacteriaceae. The record is from RNAcentral.
UCAUUUAAAGAAAGCGUAAUAGCUCACUGGUCGAGUCGGCCUGCGCGGAAGAUGUAACGGGGCUAAACCAUGCACCGAAGCUGCGGCAGCGACGCUUAUGCGUUGUUGGGUAGGGGAGCGUUCUGUAAGCCUGCGAAGGUGUGCUGUGAGGCAUGCUGGAGGUAUCAGAAGUGCGAAUGCUGACAUAAGUAACGAUAAAGCGGGUGAAAAGCCCGCUCGCCGGAAGACCAAGGGUUCCUGUCCAACGUUAAUCGGGGCAGGGUGAGUCGACCCCUAAGGCGAGGCCGAAAGGCGUAGUCGAUGGGAAACAGGUUAAUAUUCCUGUACUUGGUGUUACUGCGAAGGGGGGACGGAGAAGGCUAUGUUGGCCGGGCGACGGUUGUCCCGGUUUAAGCGUGUAGGCUGGUUUUCCAGGCAAAUCCGGAAAAUCAAGGCUGAGGCGUGAUGACGAGGCACUACGGUGCUGAAGCAACAAAUGCCAUGCUUCCAGGAAAAGCCUCUAAGCAUCAGGUAACAUCAAAUCGUACCCCAAACCGACACAGGUGGUCAGGUAGAGAAUACCAAGGCGCUUGAGAGAACUCGGGUGAAGGAACUAGGCAAAAUGGUGCCGUAACUUCGGGAGAAGGCACGCUGAUAUGUAGGUGAAGCGACUUGCUCGUGGAGCUGAAAUCAGUCGAAGAUACCAGCUGGCUGCAACUGUUUAUUAAAAACACAGCACUGUGCAAACACGAAAGUGGACGUAUACGGUGUGACGCCUGCCCGGUGCCGGAAGGUUAAUUGAUGGGGUCAGCGCAAGCGAAGCUCUUGAUCGAAGCCCCGGUAAACGGCGGCCGUAACUAUAACGGUCCUAAGGUAGCGAAAUUCCUUGUCGGGUAAGUUCCGACCUGCACGAAUGGCGUAAUGAUGGCCAGGCUGUCUCCACCCGAGACUCAGUGAAAUUGAACUCGCUGUGAAGAUGCAGUGUACCCGCGGCAAGACGGAAAGACCCCGUGAACCUUUACUAUAGCUUGACACUGAACAUUGAGCCUUGAUGUGUAGGAUAGGUGGGAGGCUUUGAAGUGUGGACGCCAGUCUGCAUGGAGCCGACCUUGAAAUACCACCCUUUAAUGUUUGAUGUUCUAACGUUGACCCGUAAUCCGGGUUGCGGACAGUGUCUGGUGGGUAGUUUGACUGGGGCGGUCUCCUCCUAAAGAGUAACGGAGGAGCACGAAGGUUGGCUAAUCCUGGUCGGACAUCAGGAGGUUAGUGCAAUGGCAUAAGCCAGCUUGACUGCGAGCGUGACGGCGCGAGCAGGUGCGAAAGCAGGUCAUAGUGAUCCGGUGGUUCUGAAUGGAAGGGCCAUCGCUCAACGGAUAAAAGGUACUCCGGGGAUAACAGGCUGAUACCGCCCAAGAGUUCAUAUCGACGGCGGUGUUUGGCACCUCGAUGUCGGCUCAUCACAUCCUGGGGCUGAAGUAGGUCCCAAGGGUAUGGCUGUUCGCCAUUUAAAGUGGUACGCGAGCUGGGUUUAGAACGUCGUGAGACAGUUCGGUCCCUAUCUGCCGUGGGCGCUGGAGAACUGAGGGGGGCUGCUCCUAGUACGAGAGGACCGGAGUGGACGCAUCACUGGUGUUCGGGUUGUCAUGCCAAUG